This 874-nucleotide ribosomal RNA is filed under the name uncultured Shewanella sp. RNAcentral describes it as "bacterial SSU rRNA". It matches the Rfam family "Bacterial small subunit ribosomal RNA", at positions 9 to 873 of the family's 1533-position model. The record is from RNAcentral. Lineage: Bacteria; Pseudomonadati; Pseudomonadota; Gammaproteobacteria; Alteromonadales; Shewanellaceae.
AGAGUUUGAUCCUGGCUCAGAUUGAACGCUGGCGGCAGGCCUAACACAUGCAAGUCGAGCGGCAGCGGGAAGAUAGCUUGCUAUCUUUGCCGGCGAGCGGCGGACGGGUGAGUAAUGCCUAGGGAUCUGCCCAGUCGAGGGGGAUAACAGUUGGAAACGACUGCUAAUACCGCAUACGCCCUACGGGGGAAAGGAGGGGACCUUCAGGCCUUCCGCGAUUGGAUGAACCUAGGUGGGAUUAGCUAGUUGGUGAGGUAAUGGCUCACCAAGGCGACGAUCCCUAGCUGUUCUGAGAGGAUGAUCAGCCACACUGGGACUGAGACACGGCCCAGACUCCUACGGGAGGCAGCAGUGGGGAAUAUUGCACAAUGGGGGAAACCCUGAUGCAGCCAUGCCGCGUGUGUGAAGAAGGCCUUCGGGUUGUAAAGCACUUUCAGUAGGGAGGAAAGGUAGCAGCUUAAUACGCUGUUGCUGUGACGUUACCUACAGAAGAAGGACCGGCUAACUUCGUGCCAGCAGCCGCGGUAAUACGGAGGGUCCCGAGCGUUUAUCGGAAUUACUGGGCGUAAAGCGUGCGCAUGCGGUUUGUUAAGCGAGAUGUGAAAGCCCUCGGGCUUAACCUGGGAAUUGCAUUUUCGAACUGGCGAACUAGAGUCUUGUAGAGGGGGGUAGAAUUCUCAGUGUAGCAGUUGAAAUGCGUAUAGAUCUGGAGGAAUACCGGUGGCGAAAGCUGUCCCCCUGUACAAAUGCUGACUCUCAGCACGAAGCUAUGUGUAGCAAACAGGAUAGAUACUCUGUUGUCUCUCCGUAUAUAUGUCUACUCGAUUUUGUGUCCUGUCAUCUGUCUCUUCUCUAUAGUCAUUAUUUUAUCGCU